UCCAUAUAGUAGUGGUGUCCCAUUUCUUAGCGGCGGAAAAUUUGUAGCCCUUCCCCUUGCCACUUUGUUUCAAGGGGCGAGGGGUAGGCGAAGGGGUAGAAAAUAGAAUUGGGAUUGGGCCUUAGUGUAUAUCAGUGGUUGUAUUUCAGGCAUAGGGCUGCAUUUUGUGACAUUUAUAUUGUAAUUUUUCUGAAAUGGAGAGUGGGGAGUGAAUUGUGGGAGACAUAGCGCCAUAUACGUUGCCUCUACCCGGGACCGACAUAAGGAAAACAUCAUCUUUAAUGUACUGAACAAAUUUUCAAAGUUAUUUUUGGGCAAGUAUAGAGACAAAAUAGAUGUAUUUGAUCAACAAAAAAUUGUAAAUGGAAUGAAUUGACAACCCAACUAUCAAUAUUUAUUUAUUUUUUAUUUUCUAAUCAAAGGUGCCGAAAAGUUAUUUAACCAAUUUUGUGCUUUUACAAGCCUAUAUAAAUGGAUGAAGGACAGAAAAGACAAAGUUUGCCAAUACAGCUGUUCCCUUCGGCAUCCUCCUCACACCCGAACCAGUGAUCUAACGCUGGAAAGGUGAACACGGAUCUCACAUCUUUGCUUUGAACUAGAGGUGCUAAUGAAAUGUUGUCAUUUGUUUUGUAUGUAUGUCUCUGAGACAGAGAGAGCGUGUGUCUGAUACUCUUGGGAAAGGUUGAGAGGAUGGGUGCAGACAAACCGGCGCUGUUUUUGUCCUGGUGACUCCAUGACAGAAGUUGAGAGCUCACCAAGACCUUCGUCUGGGAUGCAAGCCAAAAAAUAGCCAGGACCGGGAGAGCUUCAGCAUACCAGUUCUCACAACACUGUUACUCCAGCAACAAACACUCGACAAGCUUGCUUGUCAGAAACACUGAAGUCAAACCAGGCUGACACAUGCCUUCACCUCUGUCAAACACACAGGACCCACCCCUUUCCCCUGUCAAUGUAAGGCAGUGGUGCGUCAUGGUGCAGAUGGAAACCAUGACGGAAGAGGAACUGGAGGAAUCUGUAACGAGGUAUGCACUUACAACAAAUGACAUUUCAAGAGACAUCAUUCACGAAAUCUGUCCUGCAAGCCGAAUUCUCAAAGGGCACAAAAAAGCUAUCAACAAGCUAAACUUUAUUUUGCAGGAAAACCUAGACAAGGUUUUCCCAAAUUUGACAGUAGCAUUAAGAGUGUUUCUA
This is a long non-coding RNA of Triplophysa rosa, 1191 nucleotides long. RefSeq lists it as uncharacterized. Lineage: Eukaryota; Metazoa; Chordata; Actinopteri; Cypriniformes; Nemacheilidae. The transcript is spliced from 3 exons. The record is from RefSeq and is a predicted model, not a curated record.